AGUGAACGCUGGCGGUAGGCCUAACACAUGCAAGUCGAACGGCAGCACAGUAAGAGCUUGCUCUUACGGGUGGCGAGUGGCGGACGAGUGAGGAAUACAUCGGAAUCUACUUUUUCGUGGGGGAUAACGUAGGGAAACUUACGCUAAUACCGCAUACGACCUACGGGUGAAAGCAGGGGAUCUUCGGACCUUGCGCGAUUGAAUGAGCCGAUGUCGGAUUAGCUAGUUGGCGGGGUAAAGGCCCACCAAGGCGACGAUCCGUAGCUGGUCUGAGAGGAUGAUCCGCCACACUGGAAGUGAGACACGGUCCCGACUCCGACGGGAGGCAGCAGUGGGGAAUACUGGACAAUGGGCGCAAGCCUGAUCCAGCCAUACCGCGUGGGUGCAGAAGGCCUUCGGGUUGUAAAGCCCUUUUGUUGGGAAAGAAAAGCAGCAGGUUAACACCCCGCUGUUCUGACGGUACCCAAAGAAUAAGCACCGGCUAACUUCGUG
This 492-nucleotide ribosomal RNA is filed under the name uncultured bacterium. Its description in RNAcentral is "partial 16S ribosomal RNA". It matches the Rfam family "Bacterial small subunit ribosomal RNA", at positions 29 to 507 of the family's 1533-position model. The record is from RNAcentral.